Stegostoma tigrinum is the source of this 1971-nucleotide long non-coding RNA. RefSeq lists it as uncharacterized. The record is from RefSeq and is a predicted model, not a curated record. The transcript is spliced from 2 exons. NCBI's taxonomy places the organism in Eukaryota, Metazoa, Chordata, Chondrichthyes, Orectolobiformes, Stegostomatidae.
GAGGUUCAUCCAUCUCCCCUUGCUAGGUGAUGCAGCAAUUUGAGAAAUAAAUGUAACAGAUGAAUCUCUUUCUGGGCUCCGGCAGGAUGUUCUAUUGUCCCGAGAAGGUGCAUUUUUGCCGAGACGCUCGGCGUUGCUAUAGUGAGGCGCAGAAAUGAAAUAACAAAGCUCACACUAAAGCUGUGUUUGGGUGUCCUUGCACAACUGAAGGCUUCUUUUAAACUCGCUGAGAAAGUGCGGGAACCUCAGCCAAAAUAAAAGUCCAGUCCCGCCGGACUGAAUGAGUGGAGGAGGCCGGUGAUGUGGCUUUCCUUUAGGCCAAUGGGCAAGAAUAAGCACUGCAACCGAUUUGAAUAAACAAAUACGGCAUGACUUUAGCAACGACACGGGAUAACUGCGCGUCGAGCCGCAUGCAACGAGCAAAAUGAUUUCUUUCAGAUGUGUUGCCAAGUCUGAGUUAAAUUCAGGUCGGUGAAGGUGUCACGGUUGACAGUGUCAGUCAAGAACGGAAGGGCCGAACUUAUGAUUUAUUUAAAACAAUCAUUUAAAGCAGCAAGUCUGAUGACAGACCACUUCUGAUUUCUUUUCAGAAGGCUAUAAUCAGUGUUUUCAUUCUUGGUAAAUUCUAUUUAAAGUUCACUCAACAAACCCCUAUCAGUAUCCUUGUCAAUGCACUGGACAGCAGAUCUCUUUUUGUGUGUCAGGCACUGAUGAAAGAAAUCUGUUCUAUUCCGUUUAACUUUAGCCCAUAGUAAUGGGUGCACAUUACGAAUCAAUCUUCCUUUCAUGAUAGUUAAGGUCAAUAUUCUACCCACGCAUAGAACGCCUGACAAAACAGAACUUUUGCGGUAGAUCGCGGGACUCUUAUUUUGCAAAGGAGAUGCAAUUAGCUUUGUAUUGCAACUCUCUGAAAGCUUGUAGAAAAUAAGUAACCGCUAUGGGAGAAGAUCUCGUGACACAUAAAACCGAAAUAAAACUAUAUAGCGGGAAGCAGAAAAGAGGCUGUAAAGGUCAUUCGUCUAGAGAUGUUACAAAGUGCAGAGCCGAUGGUGUGACCUGCUUUCCUAUCAGUUCUACAAGACUUCCAAAAGACUUAACGGUGAUUUAUCUGCAAUCAAUCCAGAAGAGCAGAUUACCUCCAAAACAUAUUGAGAGAAAACAAAAUGUCGACAGGCACGGGCACUACAUCGACAACCAGAAUUGGUCUCCUUCCAGAAAGCAUCAACCUGGACUAAAUUGCAUAUCAAAAUCUACCUGAGUUUUCGUGAAUAUGGAUUUGAAUCUCUACCUCGCUAAUAAAUACAAAAUUGCAAACAGCACCUGCAGUUUUAAAACUUGAACAUUAGUGUGAAUUGAGAUUAAUGUAUUAACAGUUUUGUUAAAAUUAGAUUUCUUUCAUUACAAAAUCAAUGAUUAUUUGGAUGUGUGCACUUAGCAACUAAUAUCAUUGGACUUAAGGCGAACUUUUAUGACUUUCACUAAACACCAAAGGAGCAGUAGUUAAUGCAAUAUGUGAAAUGUUACAUUAUUAUUUACGCAGAGAGCCGACAUAGACACGACAGGCCGAAUGGCUCCCUUCUGUACUUUAAAUAAUCUGUGAUCCUGUAUAAACUUACUUGUUUACAAACUACCCGAAAACUACCGAAACAUACCUCGUCAAAUUAUCACAACUAGUGCUCCUUUAACUUCACCUUCAGGAACUACUGUGUGUGCACGUUUCUAAGCACCUUUCUCCAUUCUGGUGACAGGUUACCACAUUUGUGGCACAAUUUAAUGGAAAAAAAAUGAAUCUGCAGCUUUUGAGUGCAAAAUUAUACCAUUUCUCUCCAAUGUAAAAUUCAGUUCUAAUAUUGCUGCCCAGUUUUGUUUGAGAUUGCAUCCUGUUUUAAAUUGUGUUUGCGUGAACACCUCCUUCCCGCCGUUGCUGUUUGUGGCCUGUGCGUGACAUAAAUAAAGGUAGUCUUCUUUCUU